Molecule: long non-coding RNA, 379 nt
Organism: Actinia tenebrosa (Australian red waratah sea anemone)
Lineage: Eukaryota; Metazoa; Cnidaria; Anthozoa; Actiniaria; Actiniidae
Source: RefSeq, a predicted model, not a curated record
ACAAAUAAUCAUAGUUAGCAUCGUUGGUGCUCUACUAUUUGCUGUUGCCUUGAUACUGGUUUAUGUUCUUAUUUCGCGAAAACGGAAGCGGUCAAAACGUGAUGUUGUCAGUGGCACACAGCAGCAAGACCGGGGGGCAAAUCAAUGGGCCGAAGAGUGUCCGUAUGGAGAACCAGUUGAUGCAAUACGAGUGAGAAGCGUAAUUCACGCAUCUGCAAGCAAUGCUGAUUAUGCCACCGUGGAAGAGACUGGGUACAAACGGGUUACCACUUCUAAAACAGUACAACAGCCAACACGUGAUGAGACAUCCAGUUCCAAGAAAGUGAAAUCUAACGUGGAACCCGUGUAUGCUAUAGUCAAUAAAAACAAAAAGAAGGUU